GAAUCUUGCCCAAUGGGCGCAAGCCUGAGGCAGCGACGCCGCGUGAGGGAAGAAGGCCUUCGGGUUGUAAACCUCUUUCAGGAGGGACGAAGCCACUCGGGUUAAUAGCCCAGAGGGUGACGGUACCUCCCGAAGAAGCCCCGGCCAACUACGAGCCAGCAGCCGCGGUAAUACGUAGGGGGCAAGCGUUGUCCGGAUUUACUGGGCGUAAAGAGCGUGUAGGCGGCCAGGCAGGUCUGUUGUGAAAACUGGAGGCUGAACCUCCAGACGUCGACAGAAACCGUCUGGCUGGAGUCCGGAAGAGGAGAGUGGAAUUCCUGGUGUAGCGGUGAAAUGCGCAGAUAUCAGGAAGAACACCAAUGGCGAAGGCAGCUCUCUGGGACGGUACUGACGCUGAGACGCGAAAGCGUGGGGAGCGAACAGG
Molecule: ribosomal RNA, 424 nt
Filed under: uncultured bacterium
Lineage: Bacteria
Description: bacterial SSU rRNA
Rfam family: Bacterial small subunit ribosomal RNA
Source: RNAcentral